This 72-nucleotide transfer RNA is filed under the name Bos taurus (domestic cattle). It matches the Rfam family "tRNA". From Rfam's summary of the family: Transfer RNA (tRNA) molecules are approximately 80 nucleotides in length. Their secondary structure includes four short double-helical elements and three loops (D, anti-codon, and T loops). Lineage: Eukaryota; Metazoa; Chordata; Mammalia; Artiodactyla; Bovidae. RNAcentral also lists the same sequence under 1 other name. The record is from Rfam by way of RNAcentral.
UCCCUGGUGGUUCAGUAGGUAAAGAAUCUGCCUGCAAUGCAGGAGACCCAGGUUCAAUCCCUGGGUGGAGAA